AGGCUCAAAGGCCCGAAUAGUAUCAUACGAUAUUCAAAUCAACAAGUUUCAUAUAACACAAUCACACCAAAUUAGGUACUAGCAUCAUUCGAAUAUAUCAUCCUACAUUUUAUUCACUUUUAUUUCAUUUCAUCAUUCACACUUAUCAUUUGAUAGUUUACACAUAACAUCUCACUCAUAUUCAUCUAACACUUAUCAUUU
This 201-nucleotide long non-coding RNA is filed under the name Gossypium barbadense (sea-island cotton). Its description in RNAcentral is "long non-coding RNA (GBAR_LNC001313)". Lineage: Eukaryota; Viridiplantae; Streptophyta; Magnoliopsida; Malvales; Malvaceae. The record is from RNAcentral.